This 253-nucleotide ribosomal RNA is filed under the name uncultured bacterium. Its description in RNAcentral is "partial 16S ribosomal RNA". It matches the Rfam family "Bacterial small subunit ribosomal RNA", at positions 524 to 776 of the family's 1533-position model. The record is from RNAcentral.
UACGUAGGUGGCAAGCGUUGUCCGGAAUUAUUGGGCGUAAAGCGCGCGCAGGCGGUCCUUUAAGUCUGAUGUGAAAGCCCACGGCUCAACCGUGGAGGGUCAUUGGAAACUGGGGGACUUGAGUGCAGGAGAGAAGAGUGGAAUUCCACGUGUAGCGGUGAAAUGCGUAGAGAUGUGGAGGAACACCAGUGGCGAAGGCGACUCUUUGGGCUGGAACUGACGCUGAGGCGCGAAAGCGUGGGGAGCAAACAGG